UGCGGUUAAUUGGACUCAACGCCGGGCAGCUCACCGGAUAAGACAGCUGGAUGAUAGCCGGGCUGAAGACUCUGCUUGACUAGCUGAGAGGAGGUGCAUGGCCGUCGUCAGUUCGUACUGUGAAGCAUCCUGUUAAGUCAGGCAACGAGCGAGACCCACGCCAACAGUUGCCAGCAUGUCCUCCGGGAUGAUGGGGACACUGUUGGGACCGCCUCUGCUAAAGAGGAGGAAGGAAUGGGGCAACGGUAGGUCAGCAUGCCCCGAAUUAUCCGGGCUACACGCGGGCUACAAUGGUCAGGACAAUGGGUAUCGACACCGAGAGGUGGAGGCAAUCUCCUAAACCUGUCCUUAGUUCGGAUUGUGGGCUGCAACUCGCCCACAUGAAGCUGGAAUCCGUAGUAAUCGCGUUUCAAAAUAGCGCGGUGAAUAUGUCCCUGCUCCUU
RNAcentral lists this ribosomal RNA (443 nucleotides) under uncultured Methanolinea sp. RNAcentral's name for it is "bacterial SSU rRNA". It matches the Rfam family "Archaeal small subunit ribosomal RNA", at positions 896 to 1338 of the family's 1478-position model. Lineage: Archaea; Methanobacteriati; Methanobacteriota; Methanomicrobia; Methanomicrobiales; Methanoregulaceae. The record is from RNAcentral.